GAUGCCGUAAGCAAUAAUAAUAUACUCGAGCCCACACGCAAACUCCCCUGUCUUCUCUCUCUUCAAUUUCCUCUUAUUAUUUCUCUUCUCUGCAACACCACACAGCCUCUUCACGACAUUCAAAGCUGCGUUUCACUUCUCUUGUAAGUCCUUUUCAACUCCUUUCUUCUCUCCCUUCACUUAACUUUUUUAUUUUACUUUUCGGUUCCUUCUGUUCUUUCGAUUCGCCCAUGAUCUGAGUGAAGAAGGUUAGUUCUCUUUGCGCGUGUCCCGUUCUCUUCUCCAAUCCUCCACACUUUCAAUCCGAAAAUACCAAAAACUUUAUCCAGCCUCAAACUAUAUAUUACAUAUUAAUUCAUAGAUAUAGUUUUAUAUUUACCCAAAUGGAGGUGAAGCUAUGGAAUGACAAGCGCGAGAGAGAGAUGUAUGAGAACUUUGCUGAGCUUUAUGCUAUAAUCAAAGCUACUGAAAAGCUUGAAAAGGCUUAUAUUCGGGAUAUUUUAAGUUCAACUGAAUAUGAAGCUGAAUGCCAAAAACUCAUUGCCCAUUUUAAAACCCUAGCCUCGACGUUGAAAGAUACUGUCCCGAGCAUUGAGCGGUUUGCAGAUACAUAUAAAAUGGACUGCCCAGCUGCUCUGAAUCGCUUGGUUACUGUCGGGGUGCCUGCUACAGUGGAGCAUCGAGCUGCUGCAGCUGCAUCGACUUCCACCUCUGCUGCCAUUGUUGCAGAAUGUGUCCAGCAUUUUAUAACUGCCAUGGACACAUUAAAAUUGGAAUUUAAGGCGGUUGAUCAGGUGUAUCCAUUGUUAUCUGAUCUAUUGGGUUCGCUUAAUAAGUUGAGUAUUUUGCCUCCGGACUUUGAGGGGAAGACCAAGAUGAAGGAGUGGAUUUCAAGGUUGUCGAAGAUGGGGGCUGCAGAUGAGUUGACAGAUCAGCAGGCACGGCAGCUACACUUCGAUCUGGACUCGUCAUACAAUUCAUUUAUGGCUGCUUUGCCGAAUGCUGGGACUUGAUUGAUGAUUUGGAGCUUAAUCCCAAAUGAAAUCUGACUUUGUCUCAACUAGUGUUUUGCAAAAGUACCAUGAUUUCUGGGAAGGCUGAGGAAAGAUCUCAGAAUCUCUGUUGAUGAACAGGAUCUUGACUUAAUAUGAUAGCAGAAAAUUGGGUAUAUUUGUGCAGUAACUUGCUUCUCAUUAAUGGCGGAAAUGUAAGCUUUAUCACUUCACUGGGAACCAAAAUAAGCCAACUCAAGAUGUCGGAGGCGUUGGCCCUCAGAUGAAUGGGGCAGUUUUUAUUUAAUGGUGUCUGUUUUGCUUUGUUAGUGUGUCAUUCUUAUAUGUAUGUUAAUGUGUUUUGUCUUUUCAAUACAAACCCAAUUAAGAGAGUUCAUUUAUAUUGAACUAGUCUUGCAUGGGCAAUGAUCAAUAACUUGUAAACCUGCUUUAGUUUGCUGUUAGGUUCAUGUGAUUGUUUGAGCUAGCUGCAGGUUCUUCAUACUUUUGUUUGUGUGAAGGGAAAGGGAAUAUUAAGUAUUUUUUUCAAGCUAUUUUAUAAGGCUUCUUGAUAUCUCGAAGCCAGGACUAAUUACAUCCA
This is an RNA transcript of Pistacia vera, 1593 nucleotides long. It is a transcript of the gene named vacuolar protein sorting-associated protein 28 homolog 2, with no coding region annotated. NCBI's taxonomy places the organism in Eukaryota, Viridiplantae, Streptophyta, Magnoliopsida, Sapindales, Anacardiaceae. The transcript has 4 exons. The record is from RefSeq and is a predicted model, not a curated record.